Molecule: long non-coding RNA, 1012 nt
Organism: Mastomys coucha (southern multimammate mouse)
Lineage: Eukaryota; Metazoa; Chordata; Mammalia; Rodentia; Muridae
Exons: 5
Source: RefSeq, a predicted model, not a curated record
UGUUACCACUCAGGACUUUAUCCUGUACCAAGGAUGGAGAGGCAGAACUGAAGAUGUCCUGGCUGGGUUCUGGUCCGGUUCUUACUGCUGAGUGACUCUAAUCACUUGCCAUCUGAGCCUCGGCUUCCCUGUCUGUGUAGGGAUGAGCAGAGCAGCCGGCCUGUUUCCUGUCAGGUCUGCGCUGCUGUGGUUGUGUGGAAGCAGCUUGUUAUCCUGUCAGAGGCUCUGCGACCCACAGGUUUUCAGGACUACAGGCAUGAGCGACCACACAUGGCUGUUUGGUGCUAUUUUGGAACAGCUGUUUUGGAAAGCAUGGCUUUGCUAAAAGUCUUCAUACACAGACACAUUUAUUAUUGGGAUAAAUGCUCAUGCAAUGGAUUGCUAAGAACUCACUUUGUAGACCAGACUGGCCUCAGUCUCAUAGAGAUCCAACUGAAUGCUGGGAUAAAAGGCAUGUGUCACCACGCCAAGCUCUAGUGACCUACUCUUGCCAGCCAGACCUCUUCAAGGACUCCACCACAACUUUCAAAUUCUAGCACCACAAUCUGGUUGCUGAGCACUCAAAACCUGAGCCUGUGAGGCAAACAGAAGAAGACUGGCUCCCAGGUGGUUAGAAGGAGUGUCUCAAAGCCCACCCCCACAGUGACAGACUUCCUCCAAGACCACACGUCAUAACUGUGUCUCUCCCUGGGACAUGUAUAUUCAACCACUACUCCCCAGCCUAGAGGCCUGUCCAAUCCAGGAGACCUCUGCUCCCCUCCAGCCAGUUUCACUUUCUAGGAGACCGAGGAAUUGAUGACUUAAGAAGUUUAGAGAUUGCUGAGCAGCAGUUCAAUUUCACACCUGGCUCCAUGGGUGCUCACGAAUGAAAAGGAAAAUGAUGGAUGCUGGCUCGGGCAGCAAAAAGGGAAAGGAUGCCUUUUCAGACCUGCCAGAGCUGGGUGUGUAUAGCCAAAGGUGUGAGGGAAAGCUAUUAUUUCUACCUUGUAUAAAAAACUCUUAAGUGUUCAAA